AAAAUCAAGCAUCUAUGGUAAUUUGAGGGUUUUUUUGCAUAUCAAAGAGUGGGAUUUGAUAGCAAACUAGAUAGGAUUUCUAUGAGCAUUGAUUUUGGGCGAUUUGGAUUUGUAAUGACUUUGUAAGAGCUUUACAAAGUCAAGUUUAUUUUUGGAUGACUUGGGUUUUGUGAAAUAAAAUAGGAUUGAUGUUUCAAGUGAUUUCAAGAGUUUUGUAUCAGAUCUACAAGUGAAAUUUUGUAGAUUAAUGGUCAUAGUUGUGCUUAAUAUGUGUUGUGAAUCUUAGCUUGAUCUAAUGGUUGAAUUGAGGAUUAUUGAGGUUUAAGUGGAUCAAGGUCUCACAAAGUAGAAUUUUAAGUCUAAUGAGAGUUUUUAAUCUACU
Molecule: long non-coding RNA, 382 nt
Filed under: Physcomitrium patens
Lineage: Eukaryota; Viridiplantae; Streptophyta; Bryopsida; Funariales; Funariaceae
Description: long non-coding RNA (PPAT_LNC001888)
Source: RNAcentral